RNAcentral lists this ribosomal RNA (1289 nucleotides) under Trachelomonas cingulata. RNAcentral's name for it is "LSU rRNA". It matches the Rfam family "Eukaryotic large subunit ribosomal RNA", at positions 54 to 951 of the family's 3401-position model. Lineage: Eukaryota; Euglenozoa; Euglenophyceae; Euglenales; Euglenaceae. The record is from RNAcentral.
AGGAAUGACAAGCAACAGCGCUUGCUUCAGUAAUGGCGAAUGAACUGGCAACAGACUGUCUCAGCCUGAACAGAAUCCAGUUGCACUCCGUGUGCACUCGGCUCUUGUGUGAUUCAGCAGAUGCUGUGGGUUGACGGAAUGGGUGGUGAGUCUUGGCAAGCCAUGCACCAAGAAUGUCCCUGGAAUGGGCAACGACUCAAGGAUACUGUCCUGUAUGGUGCUGUGUGUGUGGCUUGCCUUGGCUUUGCUGCCCACAUCCAGGAGUAGAGUUGCUUGGGACUGCAGUUUGAAGAGCACGGUGUAUCCUGUGCAAGGAACAAUACUGACAUGGAACCGAUAGAGCACAAGUAAAGUGAUUGAAGGAUGCAAAGCACCUUGCAAAGGGGGUUCAAAGUCCCUGAAGCCUUGGCAGGAACGGCGGAGAGUGGUGAUGUGGUUAUCUGGUCAAGCCAUCAGGCAGCCUGUCCAGUUGGUUCAGCCUCCGGGCUUGCCUCUGGCUGGCUGUUCUGAGACCAGGGUCUGUAACAGGACCAUUCAUUGGAAUCCAAGCAACCUUGGGCUGGCCCUGGGCUGGUCACUGAGCUCCGUCCUCAAGAAUGGAAUGCAUAUCGUGGCAGUCAGAGGUGACAGUAAGCUUCCCUGAGCCCGAGGGAACCAGAUCAGAGAUAUCACGCAGGGGUUCUAUGUGCAGAGUCCUCAAGAGAGGCAAACCUGUUGUUGAGAGCAAUGCCAAGCCUGCUUUGUCUGCGGACAUUGCAGUGCACUGUGCCUUGAAUGUUGAAGCUAUGCCAUGCUGCUUGCUGGCAGCAUCGUCUUGACGAUGGCUCACUUGUGGUGGAAGCUUUGCAGAGAGUGUGCAGUGCAGACGGCAGAAGAGCUUGGUAUCAUUACCACUCUCUGCCCGUCUUGAAACACGGACCAAGGAGUCUAUGGAGCAUGCAAAAUCCAAUGGUGCGAUCAGCAAACCAUGCGAUGUGGUGAAGGCAACAGUCCAGAUGAAUGCAGCUGUUUGCCCGGAGACAAGGCUACACCGUGCAUGUGGAAAUUCUGUGCCGGAGCCUCAACAGGAUCAACAGUGUUGGCAUUCUGCAUGGGACACCGGUCCCGAAGUUCAGUGAACAGGGUUCUGAGUGCUUGCAUGGUCCAUGGGACCCGAAAGGUGGUGAACUAUACCGUGCUAUGACGAAGCUGUGGGAAACUGCAGUGGAAGUCAGCAGCUGUUCUGACGUGCAAAUUGUGUAGCCUGAGUGCGGCAUAGGGGUGAAAGGCCAAUCGAGCCACCUAGUAGC